Molecule: ribosomal RNA, 381 nt
Filed under: uncultured delta proteobacterium
Lineage: Bacteria; Deltaproteobacteria
Description: bacterial SSU rRNA
Rfam family: Bacterial small subunit ribosomal RNA
Source: RNAcentral
GAGUUUGAUCAUGGCUCAGAAUCAACGCUGGCGGCGUGCCUAACACAUGCAAGUCGAACGGACGUAGCAAUACGUCAGUGGCGCACGGGUGAGUAACGCGUGGAUAUCUGCCUUUUGGUUCGGGAUAACCUUGGGAAACUAGGGCUAAUACCGAAUGGUUCCUACGGGAUAAAGAUUUAUCGCCAAAAGAUGAGUCCGCGUCCGAUUAGCUAGUUGGCGGGGUAAUGGCCCACCAAGGCGACGAUCGGUAGCUGGUCUGAGAGGACGAUCAGCCACACUGGGACUGAGACACGGUCCAGACUCCUACGGGAGGCAGCAGUGGGGAAUUGUUCACAAUGGGCGCAAGCCUGAUGACGCAACGCCGCGUGGGGGAUGAAGGCC